Molecule: ribosomal RNA, 133 nt
Filed under: uncultured bacterium
Lineage: Bacteria
Description: partial 16S ribosomal RNA
Source: RNAcentral
GGUACCGUCAAAUGCAAUGGGUAUUGACCAUCGCACAUUUCUUCCCUAUUGACAGAGCUUUACAACUCGAAAGCCUUCAUCACUCACGCGGCGUCGCUGCAUCAGGGUUUCCCCCAUUGUGCAAAAUUCCUCA